Molecule: long non-coding RNA, 320 nt
Organism: Oxyura jamaicensis (ruddy duck)
Lineage: Eukaryota; Metazoa; Chordata; Aves; Anseriformes; Anatidae
Exons: 2
Source: RefSeq, a predicted model, not a curated record
AUUAACUAAUAUCUUCAUGGAUGAUUGUGCUGUGCUCUCACCAUGGCAUGUACAGCAUUUGGGCCUCUGGAUCCAGGAACAUGACCUACAUCUGUCUGCAGAUAUGUACACAAUGGUUUGUUGCCUGUCAUCGCUAUCAGAAGCAAUAUGGAGAUUUAUUAUCCUGAGAUUUCUCUCUGAACUGUGGCUGCUGGCUGUUUAUCUGCAUCUUCUGGGAUAUAGAGACCAGGGACAUCAUUUCUUUCAGUGCUUCCUCAACUUGGGAGCAGCUUCAAAGAGUCCCAGGAUAGGGUGACAGGUAUGGUGUACUUGCCUUUAGG